RNAcentral lists this non-coding RNA (46 nucleotides) under Schistosoma mansoni. The record is from RNAcentral. Lineage: Eukaryota; Metazoa; Platyhelminthes; Trematoda; Strigeidida; Schistosomatidae.
GCUCUGGUGAGGAGUCCCACAAUAGGACGAAACGGCCGUCCAGUGC